Paramuricea clavata is the source of this 315-nucleotide non-coding RNA. The record is from the annotation of a GenBank genome assembly. NCBI's taxonomy places the organism in Eukaryota, Metazoa, Cnidaria, Anthozoa, Malacalcyonacea, Plexauridae.
AAUACAGUCGAACCCCUAUAAGCGGACACCUCUCUUAAGCGGACACCUCUUUUAAGCGGACACAUAUCUCAGGUCCCAUUUGGUUUCUUUAAUAAAAAACUAUUAUCAUAACCCCUAUUAAGCGGACACCCCUCUUUAACGGACGCGGACACCUUUCUGGAGGUCCCAAUGGGCAAAUCAACCUCUCUUAAGCGGACAGAUGACAGAUUGUCUGAUAAAAUGUAUUCAAUAUUCAACAGUAAAUAAGAAUUGAGAUCAAUUUACAUGGCACAUUGACAACUUGGCGCGAAGACAUCAGAGCCAAGAUUAUUGAGG